UCCUUUGGGUUUUAUAAAAGGUCAGACCUGCCCUAUGAUUAUUUAAAUGGCCGCGGUAUCCUGACCGUGCAAAGGUAGCAUAAUAGUUUGUCUUUUAAUUGAGGACUAGCAUGAAUGGUCAUACGAGAUAUUGACUUUCUUUAUUUUAUUAUAAUGAAAUUUAUUUUUUUGUGAAAAAGCUAAAAUAUAUUUAUUAGACGAUAAGACCCUAUAAAACUUUAUUACACUUUAGAAAUAAAUUUUGUAGAUUUUAUUUAUUUUAUUUUUAAAUUGAAAUUUUGUUGGGGAGACAGGUAAAUUUAAAUAGCUUUAUUAAUUUAUUUCAUUAAUUUAUGUAAGUUUUGAUCCGGUAUUUCCGAUUAGCAGAUUAAGUUACUUUA
Molecule: ribosomal RNA, 380 nt
Filed under: Cacodminae gen. sp. OB-2013
Lineage: Eukaryota; Metazoa; Arthropoda; Insecta; Hemiptera; Cimicidae
Description: partial 16S ribosomal RNA
Rfam family: Archaeal large subunit ribosomal RNA (bases 1-184)
Source: RNAcentral